RNAcentral lists this non-coding RNA (126 nucleotides) under Chinchilla lanigera (long-tailed chinchilla). The record is from RNAcentral. Lineage: Eukaryota; Metazoa; Chordata; Mammalia; Rodentia; Chinchillidae.
UUGUUGUAGGAAAGGAGAGAAGGUUAGCACUCCCCUUGACAAGGAUAGAAGAGGCCCUUGGGCCUGACAACAUGCAUAUGGUUAAGGCAUUGUCACCCACUUUGUGGCAUCUAACCAACAUCGAAU